RNAcentral lists this ribosomal RNA (429 nucleotides) under bacterium. Its description in RNAcentral is "partial 16S ribosomal RNA". It matches the Rfam family "Bacterial small subunit ribosomal RNA", at positions 355 to 776 of the family's 1533-position model. The record is from RNAcentral.
UAGGGAAUCUUCCACAAUGGACGCAAGUCUGAUGGAGCAACGCCGCGUGAGUGAAGAAGGUUUUCGGAUCGUAAAGCUCUGUUGUUGGUGAAGAAGGAUAGAGGUAGUAACUGGCCUUUAUUUGACGGUAAUCAACCAGAAAGUCACGGCUAACUACGUGCCAGCAGCCGCGGUAAUACGUAGGUGGCAAGCGUUGUCCGGAUUUAUUGGGCGUAAAGCGAGCGCAGGCGGAAGAAUAAGUCUGAUGUGAAAGCCCUCGGCUUAACCGAGGAACUGCAUCGGAAACUGUUUUUCUUGAGUGCAGAAGAGGAGAGUGGAAUUCCAUGUGUAGCGGUGGAAUGCGUAGAUAUAUGGACGAACACCAGUGGCGAAGGCGACUCUCUGGUCUGCAACUGACGCUGAGGCUCGAAAGCAUGGGUAGCGAACAGG